GGGCUGGUAGUUCAGGGGUAUGAACGCUUGGUUCGCAACCAAGAAGUCGGGGGUUCAAAUCCCCCCCAGUCCA
Molecule: transfer RNA, 73 nt
Filed under: Candidatus Bathyarchaeota archaeon RBG_16_57_9
Lineage: Archaea; Thermoproteati; Candidatus Bathyarchaeota
Also listed under: 1 other name
Description: tRNA-Ala
Rfam family: tRNA
About the family: Transfer RNA (tRNA) molecules are approximately 80 nucleotides in length. Their secondary structure includes four short double-helical elements and three loops (D, anti-codon, and T loops).
Source: RNAcentral